This 3021-nucleotide ribosomal RNA is filed under the name Seongchinamella unica. Its description in RNAcentral is "Halieaceae bacterium GH4-78 23S ribosomal RNA". It matches the Rfam family "Bacterial large subunit ribosomal RNA". Lineage: Bacteria; Pseudomonadati; Pseudomonadota; Gammaproteobacteria; Cellvibrionales; Halieaceae. The record is from RNAcentral.
UUAUAUGGUCAAGUGACUAAGCGUAUACGGUGGAUGCCUUGGCAGUUGGAGGCGAUGAAGGACGUUGUAGCCUGCGAAAAGCUUCGGGGAGUCGGCAAACAGACUUUGAUCCGGAGAUGUCCGAAUGGGGAAACCCACCUGGUGUAAGCCAGGUACCUUUUACUGAAUACAUAGGUAAAAGGGGCGAACGAGGGGAACUGAAACAUCUAAGUACCCUUAGGAACAGAAAUCAAUUGAGAUUCCCCCAGUAGCGGCGAGCGACCGGGGAUCAGCCUGCAAGUGAUAGCAGUAGUGCUAGUGGAACGGUCUGGAAAGUCCGGCGAUAGAGGGUGAUAGCCCCGUACACGAAAGCGCUGUUGUGGUACUGAGCUUGCGACAAGUAGGUCGGGACACGUGUUAUCUUGACUGAAGAUGGGGGGACCAUCCUCCAAGGCUAAAUACUACCAACUGACCGAUAGUGAACCAGUACCGUGAGGGAAAGGCGAAAAGAACCCCGGAGAGGGGAGUGAAAUAGAACCUGAAACCGUGUACGUACAAGCAGUGGGAGCCCCAUCUUUAAACCAUUUCGAUGGUAGAUGAGGCCAUCGAUGAUUGGGUUAGGUUAGCGUCGCGCAGCGACGAUCAACCGCUCAAGAGAAGCAGAGAUGGUUUAAAGAUGGGGUGACUGCGUACCUUUUGUAUAAUGGGUCAGCGACUUAAUGUCUGUAGCAAGCUUAACCGUAUAGGGGAGGCGUAGGGAAACCGAGUCUUAAUAGGGCGACACAGUUGCAGGCAUUAGACCCGAAACCGGGCGAUCUAUCCAUGAGCAGGUUGAAGGUGCCGUAACAGGCACUGGAGGACCGAACCCACUUAUGUUGAAAAAUGAGGGGAUGACUUGUGGAUCGGAGUGAAAGGCUAAUCAAGCCCGGAGAUAGCUGGUUCUCCUCGAAAUCUAUUUAGGUAGAGCGUCGUGUCUUACCCUGGGGGGUAGAGCACUGUUUGGGCUAGGGGGUCAUCCCGACUUACCAACCCCAUGCAAACUCCGAAUACCCAGGAGUACAAUCACGGCAGACAGACAGCGGGUGCUAACGUCCGUUGUCGAGAGGGCAACAACCCAGACCGCCAGCUAAGGUCCCAAAUACCAGUUAAGUGGGAAACGAUGUGGGAAGGCUUAGACAGCUAGGAGGUUGGCUUAGAAGCAGCCACCCUUUAAAGAAAGCGUAAUAGCUCACUAGUCGAGUCGGCCUGCGCGGAAGAUGUAACGGGGCUAAACUGGUAACCGAAGCUGCGGAUGCGUGCUUGCACGCAUGGUAGAGGAGCGUUCUGUAAGCCGUUGAAGGUGAACCGGGAGGUUUGCUGGAGGUAUCAGAAGUGCGAAUGCUGACAUGAGUAACGAUAAGGGGGGUGAAAAACCUCCCCGCCGGAAGAUCAAGGUUUCCUGCGCAACGCUAAUCGGCGCAGGGUGAGUCGGCCCCUAAGGCGAGGCAGAAAUGCGUAGUCGAUGGGAAGCAGGUUAAUAUUCCUGCACUUCUUAUUAUUGCGAUGGAGGGACGGAGAAGGCUAAACCAUCAGGGCGUUGGUUGUCCCUGUUUAAGGUUGUAGGCUGGUGACUUAGGUAAAUCCGGGUUGCUAAGGCCGAGAGCUGAUGACGAGUCCAAGGCGAGAGCUGCGGAUGAAGUGGUUGAUGCCAUGCUUCCAAGAAAAGCUUCUAAGCUUCAGAUAAUGAGGAACCGUACUGUAAACCGACACAGGUGAUCAGGUAGAGAAUACCAAGGCGCUUGAGAGAACUCGGGUGAAGGAACUAGGCAAAAUGGUACCGUAACUUCGGGAGAAGGUACGCCGGCUUUGGUGAUGGGACUUGCUCCCUAAGCUGAGGCUGGUCGAAGUGACCAGGUGGCUGCGACUGUUUAUUAAAAACAUAGCACUCUGCAAACACGUAAGUGGACGUAUAGGGUGUGACGCCUGCCCGGUGCCGGAAGGUUAAUUGAUGGGGUUAUCUUCGGAGAAGCUCUUGAUCGAAGCCCCGGUAAACGGCGGCCGUAACUAUAACGGUCCUAAGGUAGCGAAAUUCCUUGUCGGGUAAGUUCCGACCUGCACGAAUGGCGUAACGAUGGCCACACUGUCUCCACCCGAGACUCAGUGAAAUUGAAAUCGCUGUUAAGAUGCAGUGUACCCGCGGCUAGACGGAAAGACCCCGUGAACCUUUACUACAGCUUUACACUGGACUUUGACCUUACUUGUGUAGGAUAGCUGGGAGGCUUUGAAGCAGUGGCGCCAGCCAUUGUGGAGCCGACCUUGAAAUACCAGCCUGGUAAUGUUGAGGUUCUAACUCAGGUCCGUGAUCCGGAUCGAGGACAGUGUAUGGUGGGUAGUUUGACUGGGGCGGUCUCCUCCCAAAGAGUAACGGAGGAGCACGAAGGUGCGCUAAUCAUGGUCGGAAAUCAUGAGGUUAGUGUAAAGGCACAAGCGCGCUUGACUGUGAGUCUGACAAGACGAACAGGUACGAAAGUAGGUCUUAGUGAUCCGGUGGUUCUGUAUGGAAGGGCCAUCGCUCAACGGAUAAAAGGUACUCCGGGGAUAACAGGCUGAUACCGCCCAAGAGUUCACAUCGACGGCGGUGUUUGGCACCUCGAUGUCGGCUCAUCACAUCCUGGGGCUGAAGCCGGUCCCAAGGGUAUGGCUGUUCGCCAUUUAAAGUGGUACGCGAGCUGGGUUUAGAACGUCGUGAGACAGUUCGGUCCCUAUCUGCCGUGGGCGUUGGAGAAUUGAGGGAAGCUGCUCCUAGUACGAGAGGACCGGAGUGGACGAACCUCUGGUGUUCGGGUUGUGUCGCCAGACGCAUUGCCCGGUAGCUAUGUUCGGACAGGAUAACCGCUGAAAGCAUCUAAGCGGGAAGCCCCUCCCAAGAUAAGUUCUCCCUGGGAAUUUAAUUCCCCUGAAGGGCCGUGGAAGACUACCACGUUGAUAGGCUGGGUGUGGAAGCGUUGUGAGGCGUUGAGCUAACCAGUACUAAUUGCCCGUGAGGCUUGACCAUAUAAUCCA